RNAcentral lists this ribosomal RNA (465 nucleotides) under Vreelandella stevensii. RNAcentral's name for it is "partial 16S ribosomal RNA". It matches the Rfam family "Bacterial small subunit ribosomal RNA", at positions 338 to 795 of the family's 1533-position model. The record is from RNAcentral. Lineage: Bacteria; Pseudomonadati; Pseudomonadota; Gammaproteobacteria; Oceanospirillales; Halomonadaceae.
CCUACGGGGGGCAGCAGUGGGGAAUAUUGGACAAUGGGGGCAACCCUGAUCCAGCCAUGCCGCGUGUGUGAAGAAGGCCCGCGGGUUGUAAAGCACUUUCAGUGAGGAAGAACGCCUGGUGGUUAAUACCCAUCAGGAAAGACAUCACUCACAGAAGAAGCACCGGCUAACUCCGUGCCAGCAGCCGCGGUAAUACGGAGGGUGCGAGCGUUAAUCGGAAUUACUGGGCGUAAAGCGCGCGUAGGUGGCUUGAUAAGCCGGUUGUGAAAGCCCCGGGCUCAACCUGGGAACGGCAUCCGGAACUGUCAAGCUAGAGUGCAGGAGAGGAAGGUAGAAUUCCCGGUGUAGCGGUGAAAUGCGUAGAGAUCGGGAGGAAUACCAGUGGCGAAGGCGGCCUUCUGGACUGACACUGACACUGAGGUGCGAAAGCGUGGGUAGCAAACAGGAUUAGAUACCCUGGUAGUC